GAUGAACGCUGGCGGCGUGCCUAAUACAUGCAAGUCGAGCGAACAGACGAGGAGCUUGCUCCUCUGACGUUAGCGGCGGACGGGUGAGUAACACGUGGAUAACCUACCUAUAAGACUGGGAUAACUUCGGGAAACCGGAGCUAAUACCGGAUAAUAUAUUGAACCGCAUGGUUCAAUAGUGAAGGACGGUUUUGCUGUCACUUAUAGAUGGAUCCGCGCCGCAUUAGCUAGUUGGUAAGGUAACGGCUUACCAAGGCGACGAUGCGUAGCCGACCUGAGAGGGUGAUCGGCCACACUGGAACUGAGACACGGUCCAGACUCCUACGGGAGGCAGCAGUAGGGAAUCUUCCGCAAUGGGCGAAAGCCUGACGGAGCAACGCCGCGUGAGUGAUGAAGGUCUUCGGAUCGUAAAACUCUGUUAUUAGGGAAGAACAAAUGUGUAAGUAACUAUGCACGUCUUGACGGUACCUAAUCAGAAAGCCACGGCUCACUACGUG
RNAcentral lists this ribosomal RNA (497 nucleotides) under uncultured bacterium. Its description in RNAcentral is "partial 16S ribosomal RNA". It matches the Rfam family "Bacterial small subunit ribosomal RNA", at positions 28 to 507 of the family's 1533-position model. The record is from RNAcentral.